UAGGGCUGCAAGGUUUGUGAUUUCUCACAACCGCGCCGCCGCUCAACAGCCACUGUCCGCCGACAGCUACCGUUUUCAGAGAAGGAAACUAGAAAACAUGGCAGAAGAGGAUUCGAAGCCUCUGACCUAUAUUCCAGAGGUUAUGCUGAAGAAGAGGAAGAGUAACGAAGCUUGGGCAUUGAGAAAAAAAGCACAAUUCCAGAACAAAAAGUUCCGCUCCAAGGACUCCAUCAAGAAGCCCGAGGAUUUCGUUCACGAGUAUCGAAACCAAGAGGUGGACCUUAUAAGAAUGAAACGGAGGGUAAAGAGGAAAUUGCCUGAACAAUUGAUCCCCGAAUCCAAGCCGUUAAUAAUUAUUCGGAUACAGGGGAAAAAAGACAUGCAUCCAAUGACCAGAAAGGUAUUAUACAGCUUGGGAUUGAGAAGUGUUUUCAGUGCUGUGUUUCUGAAGCCAAAUGACGGAAUAAUGGGCAAGCUGCUGAGAGUGGAACCAUAUGUAACCUAUGGAUAUCCAAAUCUUAAAAGCAUUAAGGAGCUAAUUUACAAGAAAGGACAUGCAAAAAUAGAUAAGCAAAAAGUUCCCUUGACAGAUAAUAACAUCAUUGAACAGGAAUUAGGAAAGUUUGGUAUUUUAUGCAUAGAAGACAUGGUGCAUCAACUCUAUAAUGUUGGUCCACACUUUAAGGAAGUCGUCAGAUUUUUGUGGCCCUUUCAACUCAACAAGCCAGCUGAAGGAUUGAAAGGAUCAAAAACCCUAUACAAGGAUGGUGGAGACACAGGAAACCGUGAGGAUCUCAUCAAUGAACUAAUCAAUAAAAUGAAUUAACUUUGGCCUCUGUAGUAUCAAAAUUUUGAUGUUUAUGAAUUAUGAUGUCCCUCUGAUUAUCCUAGGAAUCGGAUCUGUUGUUGAUUUUGGACAGCCAUGUGCAAUACUUUCUCCCUGUUAUGAAUGCUAUCUUCUGUUAAUGACAUCUUCUCAAUUUAGAAUCAAUGAAAAUAUGGGGUCAUUGGAGGUCAUAAACUUCAAACGGUGUUAACCAUAGUAGAGAUCAUGAUGUAACCACAAAGAUUGUAAUAACCUGAUUUUGUAUAGAACUUUGCUGUGGCCAUUUCUUUUCUGAUUGCUGGAUUAGCCGCUGCUCUUAAACCAUUUUCCUAUGCUUUUGGCUAUCCUUCUGCAGGGGAGGGCGUAUCACUAGUCAUAUUUCAUACAUGUCUUGGGGGAAAGGGUACUGCACUACUUUUUCAGUGUCUUUCAUAUUAUUCAUUCUUAUUUUUGUUUGUUGUUUCCUAAAGAAUUGAAUUUGGUUGCUAGACGGAUUCAAAUUAUAUCAAGAUCAAUUUAAGU
Abrus precatorius (Indian licorice) is the source of this 1348-nucleotide RNA transcript. It is a transcript of the gene named 60S ribosomal protein L7-1, with no coding region annotated. The record is from RefSeq and is a predicted model, not a curated record. Lineage: Eukaryota; Viridiplantae; Streptophyta; Magnoliopsida; Fabales; Fabaceae. The transcript has 7 exons.